Long non-coding RNA from Leptinotarsa decemlineata (Colorado potato beetle), 388 nucleotides. NCBI's taxonomy places the organism in Eukaryota, Metazoa, Arthropoda, Insecta, Coleoptera, Chrysomelidae. The record is from RefSeq and is a predicted model, not a curated record.
AAAACUUGUUCAAUUUUUUUUGUCGCGAACUAGUGUUUAACAACUUUUUCAGGCAUAGUGAUGGAGACAAGAAAAGUCAGAGAGUUCUGAAAAACUGCACCCCUCAUGAUUCAAAAUCUCUUGAAGUACUGAGAAUAGUUCCCGUGGUAGUAUACAUAAGGGAUAAAAAGGCAAAAUUCAAGUCCCUUUCAGAUGAUGUUGAAAUACAAAUUAAAGAAAAGUGUAAUUCCCAAUGUUUUAAUAAAACUCUGAGAGAAAACAUAUUUCAACAGAAACUUAGAAAAGAAUGCUGCAAUCUUGAAAGAAAAUGGUCUAAGAGACUCAAGAGUUUGCCUUUCGAAACUUUGGACAUGUAAAUGAACAAAAAAUAAAUAAAUACUGAACACUA